Molecule: ribosomal RNA, 253 nt
Filed under: uncultured bacterium
Lineage: Bacteria
Description: partial 16S ribosomal RNA
Rfam family: Bacterial small subunit ribosomal RNA
Source: RNAcentral
UACGGGGGGGGCAAGCGUUGUUCGGAAUUACUGGGCGUAAAGGGCUCGUAGGUGGCCAACUAAGUCGGACGUGAAAUCCCUCAGCUUAACUGGGGAACUGCGUCCGAUACUGGAUGGCUUGAGUUUGGGAGAGGGAUGCGGAAUUCCAGGUGUAGCGGUGAAAUGCGCAGAUAUCGGGAGGAACACCAAUUGCGAAGGCAGCUCGCUGGGACGUUACUGACGCUGAGACGCGAAAGCGUGGGGAGCAAACAGG